UACGAAGGGGGCUAGCGUUGUUCGGAUUUACUGGGCGUAAAGCGCACGUAGGCGGAUAUUUAAGUCAGGGGUGAAAUCCCGGGGCUCAACCCCGGAACUGCCUUUGAUACUGGGUAUCUCGAGUCCGAGAGAGGUGAGUGGAAUUCCGAGUGUAGAGGUGAAAUUCGUAGAUAUUCGGAGGAACACCAGUGGCGAAGGCGGCUCACUGGCUCGGUACUGACGCUGAGGUGCGAAAGCGUGGGGAGCAAACAGG
Molecule: ribosomal RNA, 253 nt
Filed under: uncultured bacterium
Lineage: Bacteria
Description: partial 16S ribosomal RNA
Rfam family: Bacterial small subunit ribosomal RNA
Source: RNAcentral